UUGCUCUUGAAAUAGCCAUAGCACCUCUUUUUUAUUCAAUAGAGGAGAGGCAAAGACACUCCAGAGCAUUCUACUGUGUCGGUGCCAUGAAACAUGGCCCUGAUGACAGGAGAGCCUUUUCCUGCUCUAUGUGCACAAAUGCACUGAUGUCUGGGAUUAUUCUGGAAGCAGCUGAAUAACUUGUUAGGCCAUAACUGCCUUCAUUGAGCAUACAAUGCCAGCUGCUCUGCCAGCUAGGACUGGGAGGCAGCUCCUUUUGGGCUGAGUGAACUGCAUUAGGGUGAUCCAGCUGAUUUUGGCAGAAAUAUUGGCUACAGCUGCUUCAGGUCCAGCUGCAAAUGGCCUAUCCAGCAAGCAGGAGCAAUGCCCCUCCUUUAAAAGCCCCAGAGCCUACAACUAGGCAGGUGCCUGCGUAUGCCCUUCUGCUGGUCAGCCAUCCUCUCUGACCAAGUCUUAUGUAGAGAACAUGUAGUGGAGUGUUUAACUUCAUCAGGAAAGCAGCUCCAUGAGGCACAAACUGCAGUACUCAAAUAAGAAAGCGCCCUAUCACAGAUGUGUACUUUCUGGCAAAGGUGAGAUCUUCCCAUAUCCUGUUCAUCUCCCCUUCAUGCUCCAUCUGCUUCAUCAAAGUCUUCCUUGCGUUUGUUUUUGUUGCAGACCAGUCAAACACAAAAGAGAAGCUAUAAAGCAAAAUAACUCCUUUUCUAUUUCAUGCUAUUUAUUUUUCAUCUUAUGACAAAUACAACUUUAUGUUGGCUUUUCUAGAUGGUAACAUCAGGCUGGUUCAUUUAGACAAGGGAUGACUCAAGCAUGUAAAAAAAACCCCUGCAAUGUCAGAAGCUGUUUGCUCCCCACGCUGUCUCAUGAAAAGGCUGUCCCUGGAGCCUUUUCCUGUGUCACAGCAGCUGGAGAAGCCCUUCUCCCUGCUGAAGGGGAAGAGACUGACAGAACAAAGUGGUUCAUUGCCUGCUGUGUUGCUGAUCCCUCCUCAGCCAGCUGGUUUCGAACACAGCCUGGUGUCAAGUUUGUAUUUCAGAAAGCUAAUUAUGCUGCAAUUUGUGGAUGGCUAUAGUUGAGAAUUCACAGCAGAAGUUCCAAAAUAAGUGUUUACUGCAUUGCUGUGUGUUUGUUUUCACCUGUGUAAGAUGCUCUAGACUUGCCUAAACAAGGUGGGGAGAUGUUUUAAAUGAAUCGGGGUGGAAAUGAGGUAUUGGUUUUUGGAAAAAGCCUUCCAGAUAUUCAGGAACAAAUAAAUUUGAAACUUAGUGAAAAUAGUUUGAUGUGUUUCACCCCUGAUAAGGCAAAAGUGGCAAAACGCUUGUGUCCUUGGUGUAUAGAGCCUGUUCAUCUGCAGGAUCCGCUACAUUCCAAUUAAGGGCUCAGUGAGGGACCUGACCCACAGUUUGGAGGUGCUUAUUAAAUUCCUUUGGUUUCAGCCACUUGCUGUGAUAAUACAGGAUAAAAAUUUUACUUAGAGGCUAAUAAGAAACCAUUCUCAUUGGAGACUUUGAUGCGAUGGCUUCAGAGGAGAUGUAAAAGUUCUAAUUUAAUGCAUAAUGAAUAAUCUAGUUUCCUGUUUGAAACUUCAGGCUUUCCCUCAGCACUGUUUCAUGCACCAGCUGCUUGUGAUGCCUCUCUUGUGGCAAAUAAUAAAAAAAAAAGGCAUUGGUAGUUGAAGAAAAUUAAGAAAUGCCAAGGUCAGGAGACUGCUGACACGGAUAAUGAAAGAAAUUGGGAAGGUGAGAGGGCAGAUGGAGUAUCAAAUGUCUUACAGAAGGCUGAAGUGGAAAUUUCAUUGUUGAAAUGAGCUGGGAUAAGAUCAGGCCUCUGAAGAUGGUUGAUGGAGGUUGGCAUCUCCACUGCCGAUACAGGGAAGGAUAGAAAAGGCUGUAGGGCAUGGGCGGAAAUCUCUCCAGGCAGGGUUGCAAGGGCGAUGUGUCAGUAGGAUACUGUGAAUAAAGUAAUAUGUUGAAUUUGGCAAAACAGAAGGGAAGAAAUUGUAGGCUGAGGUAAAAAU
Molecule: long non-coding RNA, 2017 nt
Organism: Pezoporus flaviventris
Lineage: Eukaryota; Metazoa; Chordata; Aves; Psittaciformes; Psittacidae
Exons: 3
Source: RefSeq, a predicted model, not a curated record